CGGGGUGUAGUUCAUCGGCAGAACGCUCGGUUCGGGACCGAGAGGCACCGGGUUCAAUUCCCGGCACCCCGA
RNAcentral lists this transfer RNA (72 nucleotides) under Candidatus Roizmanbacteria bacterium RIFCSPHIGHO2_12_FULL_37_23. RNAcentral describes it as "tRNA-Pro". It matches the Rfam family "tRNA". Rfam says of the family: Transfer RNA (tRNA) molecules are approximately 80 nucleotides in length. Their secondary structure includes four short double-helical elements and three loops (D, anti-codon, and T loops). RNAcentral also lists the same sequence under 2 other names. Lineage: Bacteria; Candidatus Roizmaniibacteriota. The record is from RNAcentral.